AUUGAACGCUAGCGGGAUGCUUUACACAUGCAAGUCGAACGGAGUGGCGGACGGGUGAGUAAUAGAUCGGAACGUGCCCAGUAGCGGGGGAUAACUACUCGAAAGAGUGGCUAAAACCGCCUACUAUUGGAAAGGCCGAUAUCGGAUUAGCUAGUUGGGGGGGUAAAGGCUCACCAGGGCAACGAUCCGUAGCCGGUUUGAGAGGACGACCCGCCACACUGGAACUGAGCCACGGCCCAGACUCCUACGGGAGGCAGCAUUGGGGAAUUUUGGACAAUGGUGGAAGCCCUGCUCCGGCCAUCCCGCGUGUAUGAUGCGGGCCUUCGGGUUGUAAGGUACUUUUGGCGGAGAAGCGGUAUCUGCAGAAUAAGCACCGGCUAACUACGUGCCAGCAGCCGCGGUAAUUC
Molecule: ribosomal RNA, 407 nt
Filed under: uncultured bacterium
Lineage: Bacteria
Description: partial 16S ribosomal RNA
Rfam family: Bacterial small subunit ribosomal RNA
Source: RNAcentral